AACAAACCGAAAGAAGGAAUAAACAAUUGCUGCAUUUGAGGUUGUGUUAAUACACAAUUAGUGUAUUAAUUUUUCUGCAAUAAUGCUUUGCUGGUCUCAUGGAAUAGGAGAAAUGGGAGCAUUGAUUACACAGCAGAAAUCAAUAUCAGCCAUGCAACUGACUUAGAAUACAUCAAAAACUUCGUUCUUUGAGUUUAUCAUUAUGUGAACAGGGCAGGGCAACACAUGGAUCAGGAUUGAGACAUCUGCCCUUGAAGACUUGAGAAACAAUGUGAAUAAGGACAGAUGCAAUGAAAUGCACUUGCUCUUUUAGCUUUCACUGUUUUCUAACCAGAUAGAUCAGGUCUAAGAGCUGUUAAUGGUGAGAAAUUUCUACCAAAAUAGCUGCAUACAAACUGAAUUGAUUUCUCCCUUCAAAGGGUGAAGAUGAAGAAAGUUGCGUGAUGUCAUGAAGAGGCCAUAGUUCUUAUCCCAGGAAGCAUGUGCUUUGUUCCUACCUUAGCCCAGUAUGUUCAAAUGUUGACAUCCCUGGAGACAUGCUCUUUGCCUGAGGAGUCACUGGAGGAAAAAGAGACAAAAUGCUGAAGCAGGAAGUAUAUUGAGGAUGACUUGUGACUAAAAAGCUAGAGUCUGAGCAGAAAAGUAACAGCUACAGGUCUCCAGUGAGUUCUACAAAGGAUACACCGACAAUUAAGACACUGUCCUGGGGUGUGGGAUGUAAAGAUGUGUGUCCUGCUUCAAUGAGCAUAAAUAGCUGGCUUGAUAUAGAUUCCUCUGAACUAUGCAUAGAGACUGGAUCUUCAGUCUGUCUGAGGCCAGAACAGCCCCUUAACCUGGAGGCAAGAGUUGUCUAUUGGGCAGUGUACAAAUGGAAUAUCUGUAAUGGACUGGGCUGGAAUCCAUGUGGUGUCUGCUACCUGAAAUAGUGACAGUCCAUUAGAAACACACUUUCUACUUUUGGUGCCCAAUCAAGUCUCUGUUGACAAGUAAGUUGGCUUCAAUUUUGAGGGCUCAGCUUAGGAGUUCAUUAAUUGGCAAGACAAGAGUUGGUCACUAAAAAUAAAUCACCUGUUGGAGAAGAUUAAUGAAAGAGAAAUUAUAUUGUCCUGUCUUUUAAUCAGAUAAUGACCUUAGAGAAAUACCUUUGUUCUAAUUCUACUGAUAUCAGGAUAGUCAGAAUUGUGUUUGUUUUAACAAAGACCACCUGUAAUCUUAGUGAUUAUUAUUUAUGCAUGCAUGCAUGCAUGUAUCAUUCAUAGCAAGAAGCAGUGCAAUUCAGCAACAUCCAUUUAAAUGAUUAAAGCCCACGCUAGAUGUGCUCUAAAUAAUUUUGGUUUUGAUGUUGUUAUAGUAUAGACUAUGUAGCUAGCAGUGCUGCUGAUCUGAAUUCAACUCCUAUUAUUUAAGUGCUUUCAUUCAUAAAAGACUGACGUAAAGAGACAAAACCUCAGGGACAAAGAUCACGGAGAUGUUCAGAAAGAGCCAGUUUCUGGUGGUUAUCAAAUGUGUACCAGGGAGAAGAGAGUGCAUUUUCCAUCAUAUUGGGAGCAAUCAAACUCAGUACUUGCUCUGCACCCAGGUGCUGGCAGGUCCCAAAGCAGUGUGGUAGCUAGCAUAAUUAACCUGUGGAUAAUAAGGUGUGGAGCAGGGAGUACACUGAAUAUCUAUUAAUUCUGCAGCAGUUGGCAUGGGUUCUAUCAUAUGCUUAAUUUCUUCCUUGAGGGAAGGAGAGAAAUUCACCUCCAAUUUUAAAAAUUUGUCACGCACUAGUUUUAAAGGAAAAAAUUCUAUUUACCACUGUUAACAGUAAUAACAGAAAUAACUACAGGAAAAAAAAUAGAAAAACAAACAAAAAAACGAUAGCUAUAAGAGAGAACUAAAUCUCUCUAAGCAUAAAGAAAACACUCUUUCCUGUGAAUUUGUGUGAAUACUUUCCAGUCUGAGAAUUACACAGUGAAGAAACUCCCAAGUGAUUUUAAAUGUUGAAGACAGCAAAAUUUUAUGAUCCUUUCACUGCAGAAAAUCUUGAGCUUAUCCCUUCCCUUUAUCUUCUAUUUCAGCAGUUCUAGAUUAAAUAAUUAUACAAAAAAUACACAUUCAGUAAUCAAUUUCAUAUCAUUCACUUGGCUCUAAUAAAAGUCAACCUUCUCAUGUCAGCCUCUGCAUAUGGACAAAUAGAUCACUAUAUGAAUCAGCAGUGUAUGACUAUUAACCUAGUGGCCAGUGAAUCCAAGUACAUGGAUGAUAACCCUUCUGUAAUGAUUCAACAUACACUGAAAAAUGAACUGAUUUAUGAAGAGGAAAAACUGUGGAUAUGACAUGAAGAAUAAACUGCCAUUGUUUUUUUCUCUUAUUCUUUUGAAAUUAUUUAUGCAAUUAAAUAUCACUUACUUACACUUCCUCUGACAGAAAACAUUGCAUAGUAAUAAUAAUAAUAAUAAUAAUAAAAAUCAUAGUCUGGCAAAUGAGCUGAAAGUUCUUUCCUCAUUUUGCUCUCAGCAUUAUUUGGAUCACAAUGCAUGUUUGCUACUUAAAUGCAGUAUUCAAUUUCAUGUGCCUGCUGAUUAAUACUAUCUUUUAUAUGUUAGAUACUUGCAUAAACACAACACUGACUCAUUCACAUCCUGUCAUUUAUUUAAAAUGUUUUAAUUCUGGAAGACCUUAUUGUAUGAAAACUAUGAAACAUUGUCAAGUGAACAGAAAUAUCCAAUUAUUUUCCUCUUAGAUGAGAGUCUACAUUAGACAAUUUCUCCAUUUCAAAAAUGAAAAAACAAUUUGGCAUAAUUUUCCCUGCAGAAAUGUCUAAGGUAUUGUGUUCCAAAUAGCAGGAACAGUUGGCUAAUAAAGCAAGCUGAAGUUCAAGCACCAUUAUGUCCUAUCCCAAUGUUUUAAUUUCACCUUGGCUAAGCCAACUGAUCAUAUUUUCAGAGAUCAUGUUAUAUAGCAAUGCUUUCCUCAUUACCCAUGUGACUUUAAUACGGCACAAUACUCUUUCUGAGAUAGAAUUUGCCAACACCCGUGUAAAUGCUGAUAAAAAUAAUCCCUAAAGGGAAGGAAGUCAUAUAUAUAUGUGUGUGUGUGUGUGUGUGUGUGUAUAAAAGAAGAAUAUUUACUGGCUUCCAAAAUCAAAGUUUUCUUUUCAGAGCUUCAGUCAUUUAUACUUCAUGUAACUAAAGGAAAGGAGGACUGGUACUUCUGAACUCUUAGUGGUUUAUAACAUUGCAGUUCUGAUUAUUUAAGCUAUUUUUUUUUUCUGUUACUUGAGUUAAAAAUACUAAUCUAUACAUUUUUAACAUCUUUUCUUUCAACUAGUGUUCAUCCCUCUUGACUAGAAGACAUUUUCUGCUCUGAACUGUAAACACACAACUCUGAACUUCUCUUUACAUCAGUGAGAUAAAAAUAACUCAGACUUCUCUCUUUCACCUGAAAAUGGGUCAUAAUUCCCCCUAUCUUCCAAGGAUUUGGGAGUGGGGCAUCACUUCCAACUUUUUUUCCUUUAACGUGCCAAUAAAACUCUAGAUUCCUGUGAGAGGAGAAAGAAAUAAAUCUCUACAUAGAGGCAUGUUAACAUAAACUCAUGCAUUAGGUGAAGUGUCACUGAACUGUUGUGCAGUUUUCUCUAGGAGCGGUCUCUACUGGACCAUGCCCAGAGGGAAAAAGAAAGCAUCAGGCCUGGUGGUGCUGUAGAGGAAGAGAGAUGCUGAAGGAAUUAUUGGGUCCAAAUAGCUGUUGGAUAUUCAUCCAGGGUUCCUAGUGGAACCGACUAUUUAUAUAGUCUGUUAUAUAUAGAAUAUAGAACUUUUAUAUAGAACUUUUAGUAUAUAGAACUGUUUAUAUAGUAUAUAGAACAGACUAUUUAUAUAGUCUGUUAAGAACCAAUGUUAAAAUUAGUCCAAUGUUCUGGGAAUUAUAAUAAGUUAGGUAGAUAAUCCAUCCACAAGACAAUAUUGUCGCUACUAACAGCCAAACAAUGUUGGAGUCGUGUUCUGUUAAGAAGUCUUCCAACUGAGUGAUACUUGGGACAAAGCUAUCAUUUUUUCUUUGAUCCAUUGCUAAAUUGUUUCUGUACCAGCACCUAUAGAAGCCAUCCCCCUCCGCAGCAGCUCCACUAGGAACCCACUGUCCAAGUGGCUUCUGGACAGUGGAAUAGUUGACAGAUGGCAGACUGGUUUAGGUUGGGAGGGACCUCUGGAGGUCAUCUGGUCCAAAUCUCAAACUCUUUACCUCAGAACACAGGAAUUACAGGCAGGGGCAAACAGCUCUCAUACAACAGGUUCAGGAUCUUGUUUGACUCUUUCAGCAAAUAUGUCUUAUAUUCUUGAACCCACAAAACAUCUCUUCCUCUAAAUAUAUUGUCUCUGUAAUUAUAGUGGAUCUGAUACCAAUUUUUAUUUUUUUUCUCAACUGAAAACUGAGUUUAUAUGCUCAUAUUUUUGCCCAGAUAGCAGUGCACACUCACUCAAAACCUCUAUUGUGGAGUACUUCAAAACUUAACACUGUUUGAAACGCCUUGAAGCUGCAACUGACAUGAUCUUCUUUAAAACUUGUGUUCAUAUGUGUACUCUUACUUUUAGUACAAUCAUAGGUUAUCAAACCAGAAUGCCAAUCAUUUACUUCCUUUCUUACUUCUGUUUAUAUUUCAGCUGUUUACCUGACUGUAGGUUACUUUUACAUGCCUUUACUUAUUGAAAAAGAAAAGAAAAAAAAAAAAAGGGGAAACAGCAAGCAGUAUAGCUUUUUGCAGCAAACGUGCAAGUAUGGGUAAUUAUGAAGUAGAAAAGUGAUCAAAAGUGAUCAUUUAAUCUCCAUAAGUUGAAAAAGGGAAAUUCCACGGCAGCAAUAACUUUCCUUUUCCUUUAGGCACUGGAGUAGCAUUUUCUGUAUUUUGUUAUGUUGGGAAUGUUAAUGUACAAGACAGGUCUGGUCAUCCAUCAUCCAGAAAAAUGAAUUUGACAAAUUUGAACAGUUUAGAAAACAUUUACUGUCAAAAUGUUCAGGAUCUGGAUAACCUCUUUAAGGCUGCAACAAGCUUGUUCUAAGGAAGUGAGAGGAAGAUAGCCUGCAGCUGUGUACGAGGUGCAAGUAGAGGCAGGAAGUAGAUUCUCAAGGUAAAGAGCUAUGUGUGCACUGAAUAGGAAAUUAGAUCAGGAAUUAGAUUCCAAACAACCAAAAGAAUAGCUAUAUAAUACAGUCUUUUUAAUGGAAAAUAUAUCAGCAGCAAAUCUGAAUGAGUUUUGUUAUUUUAUAAGUAUAGUGGAUGUAUGAAUGUGCCAUGUGAUAUAUUCAUGCAAUGACAAUACUGAGGACAUUCCUUCUAGUCUCAUGUUGAUUCUCUUACACUCCAUUUCCAGGAGCAGAUUUUUCAGAAACUUAUUUUUCUUUUUUCAAGCCUUACUUCUACAAAUGUAAAGCCUUUGAGAUUCUGUUCUUUACGUAUGUUUUUCUUAGAAAAAGAAUUAAGCAUCUUUCUUGAAAUCUCUACAUAUCACAUAGGGAAAAAUCAAAGAAAUACAAAUAAUUUAUUGAUGUAUUUUUACUUCCUCUAGGUAGCGUCUUAUAGAUGCAUUAGCCUUUUAAACAGUAUUGUUUAUGAAAGACUUAUUAGAACUUGUUUGUUUUUGUUUGGGUUUGGUUUGUUCUGUUUUUCUUUAUGUUAUGCAUUCACUGACCUAUUUUGUUGUAAUAGAUGUAAAAAGACAUUGGUAAUCUCCACCUAAUGAGACUUACCUAAUUGAUUAUUGAAUGUAAUUUUCUACAUUUUCUCUUUUAAAACAGGUGGGAAUGAAAAAUAAAUGAGAACCUCUUUCAUGAAGUUCUUUUUAUUUGUUAUCAGUCUUUUCAUUGAUGUCAAAUCCUACAACUGAAAUUUCAGUUAAGAGCAAUAUAUACCACACUCCUAGAUGCAGUUUCAUGCAUACCAUAAUAAUGAGAAAGACAGUUAAAUUUAAUAUUUCAUAUAAAAAGAUUACAAUUAUCUCUUAUCUAGCAUUCUUGCUACAGAAACACUGUUUUGGGAGGCUAAGGAGAGAGCAGGAGAUGGCUUUGAUCAUAUCCGUACUGGAAAUUCUGAGAGAUUUUUUUUAUUCCUUUCCAAAUUUUUAUGCAUAAAUUAAACAGGAGCAUGUUGUGAACCCCAGUCCCAGGUUGUCACAGAUUCCCCAGGGUUCGGAGAACCAGAAUCUAGUCAGUUUGCUGGCUGAGCCGCGUGGGGAGUGAUGACAUGACCCAAUAUGAGUGCAUCAAAAUCUCCAUUUAUUAUCCGUUGCUUACACACAUAUAUAGAUUGUGGCGAAUGUGCAUCAGCUUGUAAUUGGUUGAAGCAUUAUGAGAGCCCCCGGCCCUACAAUACCAUUGGCCGUGGAAUCACACAUCUUGCUCGCAUAGCUACUGAUACAGCAUUAAUCUUCGCAUUGUUCUUUGUAUUCCAUUACUCAGUCUCUUCCCAGGCUAGCUUCCCCCUUAUCUUAGCUACAGCCUCAGCUUCUUCUUUGUGCUUUCAUAGCCUCAAGGUCUCCUAGCCUGAGUUGUGCACAUAGCACCCGAGCUUAGCAAGUUCUUGCUCCCUGAGCUAUCAUAGCAAGCUAGUACUUUUCCAUUUGUAUUUUUUGCCAAUUGUUAGGCCUGUCCUGCUUGUACAACUGUUCAAGAGACCCAUGGCCCCCUUGGUUGUGGAGCCAUUCCUCAACAGGAGAAUACUCUCUAAAGGAUCUGGAGAUCAAAAUAAUUUCCAUUAUCAUCUGAAGAAGCCAAUAGUACGUUUUAUUAUACUUCCCUUCAGCUAAAUGAUUUGUUUCAAGUAGCUCCUUUCAUGUUGUGCAUUUCUAAGGUAAUGUAUGGAUACCAUAAUGAAACUUGAAGAAAGGUGUUUCAUUAAGAAAUUAAUUCUAGAAACUAAAUAUGAAUUAUCUUACUGAUUUGGAUAGCAUACUUGUCUGGUGAAUUACUUUCAGACGUAGAGAGUGUAUAAACAGGAGGGGGUAUGUUUGUCUGUGAGGGUGGAUAGUGACAGGACAAGGGGGGGGGUGGUUUUAAACUAAGAACAGGGAAGGUUUAGUUUAGAUAUCAGGAGGAAGUUUUUCAUAUGGAGGACGGUGGUGCACUGGAACACGUUGCCAAGGGAGAUUGUGGACGCCCCAUCCCUAGAGGCAUUCAAGGCCAGGCUGGAUGUGGCUCUGGGCAGCCUGAUCUAGUGGUUGGUGACCCUGCACAUGGCAGGGGGGUUGAAAUGAGAUGAUCAUUGUGGUCCUUUUCAACCCAGGCCAUUCUAUGAUUCUAUGACUCCAACACUGUUUUACAUUAAGUAUUUACUAUGUAGUUAACAGAAGCCAACAGCAGAAUCCUAGUAGCAUUUAGAAGAAUUUAAGCUAAGAUCUCUUUAGAGAAUGUUUCAAAUUCAUCUACAUCUGCAUCUAGUAUAAAAGAUUUGUAGGAAGAAUUAGGAACACCAUUCUGCAUCCUCUUUCUAUUUCCAAUCAUGUUAGUUGUUCUUACUGAUCACCUCAAAUAGCAACUGUAAUUUUUAUUCAUAUGCAUAUUUUUCUGCCUGUGGCUUUUCCUCUUGCCUCAGAGCUCUGUAACUGCCUCCAAGACCUGACAAAAGCUUUGCAUACAUAUAAGAUACUCCAAAAAUGCAGUAUUAAUUAAUUAUAAUGCACAGCUCUAAAUUUUGCAUAAUUCCAAUUCACUAUUAUAAAAUUUGUGAACUGUCAAAAAAAUACUCUUAAUGAAAAAAAACCUUCUAAAUUACAUAUUAUUUACAAUUAAGUUGGCUUAGAAAAUCCCAAUAACAGGUCAGAAUUUCUUAUCAAGGCAGAGUGGUGCUAAGAUUUAUGUUAACUCACUCUUUCAACAAAAUGUGUUAGUGCUAUCCUUCUGUUUAAUGCAGCCCAAGGAUUACAAAAUCCCCAGAUGUCAACUCCUUGAUUACAAGGAAGCAAUUAGUAAUAGAAUCUAAAUUUAUAUUCCUCAAGAUGAAGGAAUAAAACUCCUAUGAGAGUAAUUUCUGUGGGCUGUGUUUCAGAAGAAAGCACACUUUCAACAACAAAAACCUCUACUGUGAAAAAGUGCCAUAAUAUUAAAUUCAUACCAGAUAGGGCUGCUAUAGUCUAAAAAUAAAUGUAUAAAUAUCACGGAGUUUUCCGAGUCCGUGACAAGGGGGCCACAGGCUCAGGGAAAAAGAAAAGAAAAGAAAAGAAAAGAAAAGAAAAGAAAAGAAAAGAAAAGAAAAGAAAAGAAAAGAAAAGAAAAGAAAAGAAAAGAAAAGAAAAGAAAAGAAAAGAAAAGAAAAGAAAAGAAAAGAAAAGAAAAGAAAAGAAAAGAAAAGAAAAGAAAAGAAAAGAAAAGAAAAAAGAAGGGAAG
Long non-coding RNA from Gallus gallus (chicken), 8358 nucleotides. The record is from Ensembl. Lineage: Eukaryota; Metazoa; Chordata; Aves; Galliformes; Phasianidae.